This 396-nucleotide ribosomal RNA is filed under the name uncultured bacterium. RNAcentral's name for it is "bacterial SSU rRNA". It matches the Rfam family "Bacterial small subunit ribosomal RNA", at positions 123 to 499 of the family's 1533-position model. The record is from RNAcentral.
AACCUGCCUUUGAGAAGGGGAUAACUGUCCGAAAGGAUAGCUAAUACCCUAUAUUGCCCUUUGUCACUAAGGCAAAAAGUGAAAGCGAGGCUGUCAAAGGCUUCGGCUCAAAGAGGGGUUCGCGUCCUAUCAGGUAGUUGGUGGGGUAAUGGCCUACCAAGCCAAUGACGGGUAGCUGGUCUUAGAGGAUGAUCAGCCACAGUGGGACUGAGACACGGCCCGCACCCCUACGGGGGGCAGCAGUGGGGAAUCGUGGGCAAUGGGCGCAAGCCUGACCCCGCAAUGCCGCGUGAGGGAAGAAGCCCUUCGGGGUGUAAACCUCUGUCAGAUGGGAAGAUGGGACUAGGGGCUAAUACCUCCUGGUCUUGACAGUACCAUCAGAGGAAGGGACGGCUA